Long non-coding RNA from Pleuronectes platessa (European plaice), 593 nucleotides. RefSeq lists it as uncharacterized. The transcript has 3 exons. The record is from RefSeq and is a predicted model, not a curated record. Lineage: Eukaryota; Metazoa; Chordata; Actinopteri; Pleuronectiformes; Pleuronectidae.
UCGGCGCAGGAAGGAGCUGGUGGACGCCACAGCGCGUAAAAGCAUCCAGGCAUCAAACACCGAGGACCACUUUGACCGAAGCGCCACGUUCCCCCCUCCCACCUCCCCACUCCUGUUUCAAUGUUGUUUUAACCUCGGAAAAAGAGAAGAGAAAACCUUCUAGAUCAGGUGAUGAGAAAGAAACCCAGUGAGUGUGAGUGUGUGCGCGUGCGUGUGUGCGGCUCGCUGCACGGGGACCAGUGUGGAGCUCAUCCCAAACAGAGGAUGGAGAGAAUAACAGUCGCUGCUCCGGAAUAAAGAGAGGACGCUUUUUUUUCGGAUGUGGUGACAGAGACGUGCACGAGUUCCACGACAACACGCACUCGGGAGGGAUUUCCCUUUGUCCCCACGUGUGCAGUGGAUGAGCUGUGGACCAGACACAAGGUGUGAAGCUGUGGUGGUCCGACAGCGAGGGAGAUACUGGAGGAAAGAUGAGGAAGAGCAGGAGUGUUCUCACGGUGUCUCCCAACAAUGACAGCAAAGAGCCUCCAGACUGCUGCCUCAGUGAGUCGUUCACGUCUCCGUCCUGCACGCUGGGGGUCGACCUGCGCCGG